ACUGAAGGUAAAAGGUUGGGAAAAAUCAUACCAUUCAUAUGGACUGUGGAAGCAAGCAGGAGUUUCCAUCCCCAUAACAAAUAAAGUAAACUUCAAGCCAAGGUUAAUCAAGAGAGAUAAAGGUGGAAAUUACAUACAGCUCAAGGGAACCAUACACCAACAAGACAUAACAAUCAUAAAUAUAUAUGCCCCAAACAAUGGAGCAUCUAUGUUUAUCAAACAAAUUCUUCUCAAGUUCAAGAGUCAGACUGACCACAACACAGUAAUCUUGGGUGACUUUAACACACCUCUCUCACCACUGGAUAGAUUUUCCAAACAAAAGUUUAAUAAAGAAACUAUAGAACUCAAUAAUACAAUCAGUAACUUAGACUUAACUGACAUAUACAGAAUAUUUCAUCCUUCAACGAGCAAAUACACUUUCUUCUCACCAGCACAUGGAUCCUUCUCUAAAAGAGAUCAUAUACUAUGCCACAGAGCAACUCUUAGCAAAUACAAAAAAUACUAUGCAUUUUAUCAGAUCAUACUGGAAUGAAAUUGGAAAUCAAUGACAAAAUAAAAAUUACUCCACCACCUGGGGACUAAACAAUAGGCUACUGAAUGAACAAUGGGUUACAGAAGAUAUCAAGGAGGAGAUUAAAAAUUCUUAGAGAUAUAUGAGAACAUAGACACAACACAUCAAAAUCUCUGAGACACUAUGAAAGCAGUACUAAGAGAAAAGUUCAUUGCAUGGAGUUCAUUCCUUAAAAGAAGAAAAAGUCAACAAAUAAAUGACUUCACAUUAUAUCUCAAAGCCCCAGAAAAAGAAGAACAAAUCAACAGCAAAAGCAGUAGAAGCAAGAAAUAAUUAAAAUUAGAGCUGAAAUCAAUGAAAUUGAAACCAAAAGAAAUAAUUGAAAAAUUGACAAAAACAACAAAAAGUUGGUUCUUUGAAAAAAUAAAUAAAAUUGGCAGACCCUUAGCUAUGCUAACAAAGAGAAGGGAAAAGAAAACUCAAAUUACCAGCACAUGUGAUAAAAAAGGUAAUAUCACAGCAGACACUACAGAAAUACAGAGGAUAAUUAGAAAUUAUUUUGAAAACUUAUACUCCAAUAAAAUAGAAGACAUUGAAGGCAUUGACAGAUUUCUUAAGUCAUACAAUUUGCCCAGAUUGAACCAGGAAGAUAUACACAAUUUAAACAGACCAAUAACAAGUGAUUAAAUAGAAGACACCAUCAGAAGCCUACCAACCAAGAAAAGCCCAGGACCGGAUGGAUACACAGCCAAGUUCUACAAGACCUUUAAAGAAGAACUAAUACCAAUGUUCUUCAAUUUAUUUCAAGAAAUAGAAAAAGAGGCAGCACUUCCAAACUCAUUCUAUGAGGCCAAUAUCACCAUUCCAAAACCAGGCAAAGAUACAUCAAAGAAAGAAAACUGCAGAUCAAUAUCACUAAUGAAAAUAGAUGCAAAAAUUCUCAAUAAAAUUCUGGCAAAUCAAAUACAAAAACAUAUCAAAAAGAUCAUACACCACAAUUAAGUAGGGUUCAUCCCAGGAAUGCAAGGUUGGUUCAACAUACGGAAAUCAAUAAAUGUAUUUCAUCACAUCAAUAGACUCAAAGAUAAGAAUCAUAUGAUCAUCUCAAUAGACACAGAAAAAGCAUUUGACAAAAUAUAGCACCCUUUCAUGUUUAAAACACUAGAAAAACUAGGGAUAACAGGAACAUAUCUCAACAUUGUAAACACUAUAUGCCCCAGGCCAACAGCAUUCUAAAUGGAGAAAAAUUGAAGGCAUUCCCUCUAAAAAUUGGAAGAAAGGGAUGCCUUCUUUCACCAUUUCUAUUUAACAUAGUUCUUGAAAUACUGGCCAGAGCAAUUAGACAGACAAAAGAAAUUAAAAGGAUACGUAUAGGAAAAAAAGAACUUAAAAUUAGCACUAUUUGCUGACAAUAUGAUUCUAUACCUUGAAGACCCAAAUAUUCAACCAGAAAACUUGUAGAACUAGUAAAUGCAUUCAGCAAAGUAGCAGGAUUUAAAAUCAACACCCAUAAAUAAUAGGUAUUUCUGUAUAUCAAUGACAAAUCCUCUGAGAGGGAAAUGAGGAAAACUAUCCUAUUUACACUAGCCUAAAAAAAAAAUUUGGGAAUCAACUUAACAAAAGAGGUGAAAGAUCUAUACAAUGAAAACUACAGAACCCUAAAAAAAGAAAUCAAAGAAGACCUUAAAAGAUAGAAAGAUCUACCUAGCUCCUGGAUAGGCAGAAUUAAUAUUAUCAAAAUAACCAUACUUCCAAAACCACUAUACAGAUUUAAUGCAAUUCUGAUCAAAAUACCAAUGGCAUUUCUCAUAGAAAUAGAAAAAGCAAUCAUGAAAUUCAUCUGGAAAAAUAGGAGACCCAGAAUAGCUAAAGCAAUCCUUAGCAGGAAGAGUAAAGCAGGCGGCAUCAUGAUACCAGACCUUAAACUAUACUACAGAGCAAUAGUGAUAAAAACAGCAUGGUAUUGGCACCAAAACAGACUGGUAAACCAAUGAUACAGAAUAGAGGACACAGAGACUAACCCACAAAAUUACAAUUAUAUUAGACAAAGGCACCAAAAACAUGCAUUGGAGAAAAGAUAGCCUCUUCAACAAACAGUGCUGGGAAAACUGGAAAUCCAUAUGCAACAAAAUGAAAUUAAACCCCUAUCUCUCACCUUGCGCAAAACUCAACUCAAAGUGAAUCAAGGAUCUAGAAAUUAAACCAGAGAUUCUUCAUCUAAUAGAAGAAAAAGUAGGCCCUAAUCUUCCUCAUGUGGGACUAGGCCCCAACUUCCUUAAUAAGACUCCUAUAGUGCAAGAAUUAAAACCAAGAAUCAAUAAAUGGGAUGGAUUCAAACUAAAAAGUUUCUUCUCAGCAAAAGAAACAAUCUGUGAGGUGAAUAGAGAUCCUUCAUCUUGGGAGCAAAUUUUUACCUCUUAUCAGAUAGAUCACUAAUCACUAGGGUAUAUAAAGAAAUCAAAAAGCUAAGCACCAAAAAAACAAAUAACCCAAUCAACAAAUGGGCCAACGACUUGAACAGACACUUCUCAGAAGAGGAUAUACAAUCAAUCAACAAAUAUAUGAAAAAAUAUUCAUCAUCUCUAGCAGUUAGAGAAAUGCAAAUCAAAACUACUCUAAGAUAUCAUCUUACUCCAGUCAGAAUGACAGCUAUUAUGACAAACAAUAAUAAGCGUUGGCAAGGAUGUGGGGGAAAAGGUACACUCAUAUACUGCUGGUGGGACUGCAAAUUGGUGCAGCCAACUGGAAAGCAGUAUGAAAAUUCCUUAGAAUACUGGGAAUAGAACCACUAUUUGACCCAUCUAUCCAACUCUUUGGUCUAUACUCAAAGGACUUAAAAACAGCAUACUACAGGGACACAGCCACAUCAAUGUUUAUAGUAGCACAAUUCACAAAAGCUAAACUGUGGAACCAACCUACAUGCCUUUCAGUAGAUGAAUGGAUUAAAAAAUGUGGCAUAUAUACACAAUGGAAUUUUACUCAGCAAUAAAAGAGAAUAAAAUCAUGGCAUUUGCAGGAAAUGGAUGGCGUUGGAGAAGAUAAUGCUAAGUGAAGUUAGCCAAUCCCAAAAAAGCAAAUGCCGAAUGUUUUCUCUGAUAUAAGGAGACUGCUUCAUAGUCAGGUAGGAAGGGAUAGCAUGGGAGGAAUAGAUGAACUUUAGAU
Molecule: long non-coding RNA, 3673 nt
Filed under: Marmota monax (woodchuck)
Lineage: Eukaryota; Metazoa; Chordata; Mammalia; Rodentia; Sciuridae
Source: RNAcentral